UUAUGGCUCAGGAUGAACGCUAGCGGCAGGCUAACACAUGCAAGUCGAGGGGCAGCGCGAGUAGCAAUACUUGGCGGCGACCGGCGCAAGGGUGCGUAACGCGUGAGCAACAUGCCCGUGUCAGGGGGAUAAUCCAGGGAAACUUGGUCUAAUACCCCAUAGUAAUUUUGUAAGGCAUCUUAUAAGAUUUAAAGCUUUGGUGGAUACGGAUUGGCUCGCGUGACAUUAGCUGGAUGGUAAGGUAACGGCUUACCAUGGCUAUGAUGUCUAGGGGUUCUGAGAGGAAGGUCCCCCACACUGGAACUGAGACACGGUCCAGACUCCUACGGGAGGCAGCAGUGAGGAAUAUUGGACAAUGGAUGGAAAUCUGAUCCAGCCAUGCCGCGUGAAGGAAGAAGGUCCUAUGGAUUGUAAACUUCUUUUGUAUGGGAGCAAUAAGGCCUACGAGUAGGUUGAUGAGAGUACCAUACGAAUAAGCACCGGCUAACUCCGUGCCAGCCGCCGC
Molecule: ribosomal RNA, 505 nt
Filed under: uncultured bacterium
Lineage: Bacteria
Description: bacterial SSU rRNA
Rfam family: Bacterial small subunit ribosomal RNA
Source: RNAcentral